This 505-nucleotide ribosomal RNA is filed under the name uncultured bacterium. Its description in RNAcentral is "partial 16S ribosomal RNA". It matches the Rfam family "Bacterial small subunit ribosomal RNA", at positions 28 to 507 of the family's 1533-position model. The record is from RNAcentral.
GACGAACGCUGGCGGCGUGCCUAAUACAUGCAAGUAGAACGCACAGUUUAUACCGUAGCUUGCUACACCAUAGACUGUGAGUUGCGAACGGGUGAGUAACGUGUAGGUAACCUGCCUGGUAGCGGGGGAUAACUAUUGGAAACGAUAGCUAAUACCGCAUAAUAUUGAUUAUUGCAUGAUAAUUGAUUGAAAGAUGCUAUUGCAUCACUACCAGAUGGACCUGCGUUGUAUUAGCUAGUAGGUGAGGUAACGGCUCACCUAGGCGACGAUACAUAGCCGACCUGAGAGGGUGAUCGGCCACACUGGGACUGAGACACGGCCCAGACUCCUACGGGAGGCAGCAGUAGGGAAUCUUCGGCAAUGGACGAAAGUCUGACCGAGCAACGCCGCGUGAGUGAAGAAGGUUUUCGGAUCGUAAAGCUCUGUUGUAAGAGAAGAACGGGUGUGAGAGUGGAAAGUUCACACUGUGACGGUAUCUUACCAGAAAGGGACGGCUAACUACGUG